GUAGCGGAUCGGCAAGUCCCUUGUGAAAUCGGACGACUUAAUCGUUCGGCUUGCAUGGGAAACUGCGGAUCUUGGGGUCGGCAGGCGUCGAGGGUACUCCGGGGGUAGCGGUGAAAUGCUAUAAUCCCUGGGGGACCGCCAGUGGCGAAAGCGCUCGGCGGGGCCGAACCCGACGGUGAGGGACGAAGGCCAGGGGAGCGAACCGGAUUAGAUACCCGGGUAGUCCUGGCUGUAAAGUAUGUGGGCUAGGUGCUGGGCUUUCCUCGAGAGUGCUCGGUGCCGAAGGGAAGCCGUUAAGCCCACCGCCUGGGAAGUACGGCCGCAAGGUUGAAACUUAAAGAAAUUGGCGGGGGAGCACCACAAGGGGUGGAGCCUGCGGUUUAAUUGGAUUCAACGCCGGACAACUCACCGGGGGCGACGGCAGAUUGAAGGCCAAGUUGACGACUUUGCCGGACUCGCCGAGAGGUGGUGCAUGGCCGCCGUCAGCUCGUAUCGUGAGACGUCCUGUCAAGUCAGGUAACGAGCGAGACCUUCGCCUUUAGUUGCCAGCAGGUCCUUCGGGAUGCUGGGCACUCUAAAGGGACCGCUGUCGAUAAGGCAGAGGAAGGAGAGGGCGACGGUAGGUCCGUAUGCCCCGAAUCCCCCGGGCAACACGCGGGCUACAAUGCGCAGGACAGAGGGCUGCGACCCCGAAAGGGGGAGCCGAUCCCUAAACCUGCGCCUAGUUCGGAUCGAGGGCUGCAACUCGCCCUCGUGAAGCUGGAAUCCCUAGUAACCGUGUGUCNUUAUCGCACGGUG
This 798-nucleotide ribosomal RNA is filed under the name uncultured candidate division MSBL1 archaeon. Its description in RNAcentral is "bacterial SSU rRNA". It matches the Rfam family "Archaeal small subunit ribosomal RNA", at positions 521 to 1320 of the family's 1478-position model. Lineage: Archaea; Methanobacteriati; Methanobacteriota. The record is from RNAcentral.